RNAcentral lists this ribosomal RNA (2956 nucleotides) under Triticum aestivum (bread wheat). RNAcentral's name for it is "partial small subunit ribosomal RNA". The record is from RNAcentral. Lineage: Eukaryota; Viridiplantae; Streptophyta; Magnoliopsida; Poales; Poaceae.
CCGAGCAGCUUUGUAAAGAGAAAAAAACACAACCACACACGCAUGGGCUCGACUCCUCUCCCUCUCGCCCACGAAGUCACCGCCGCCGCCGCCCACGCCGGCCGCUUCCGGCGAGCUCCGGCGCUGCGCAGCACAGCCCCGAGCUCCCCAUGCUCCGCGCCUCCCUCCCCUCCGGCCAGAUUCUCAUCUCCCGGCCUCUACCGCCCGCUCGCAACCACACCUCCAUGGCUAGGGUUCCGGGCAGUGCUUCGUCGGCGCGUCUCCGGCGGCCCCAGAUGCAGAUGGAGCACGCCAUGGGAGUUCCCCAUCCACCAUGGUCGCUGUCGUCAAGGGCUUCUUCAAGGAGAUGUGAAGGACGCCAUCGACCUGCAGCUACUCAAGGUUUUAUUCCACCUUUCCUCUUAUAUCAAGUUCUAACAGUACAUUGGGGGAGUGGGGGCGGAGAAGGCACCCCACCUGAAUUUUCAUUUCUCAAGUCUCAAGCGGCGACAGUACCCGGCAACACGAGUACAGGGAGUGUUUUUACUGGUUACGUCCAAAGUGGAGAACUAAGAACAACAGCCUCAAGGAAACUAUACGGAGAGAGCUAGGAGGAUUGGUUUCCAGUCCAGGAGUGAGCUCCUGUCUUUUGAUUUGAAAUGAAACGCCCACUGGGAGAGGUCUGCAGCUGCUGCUUUCGUGAGGCUGGUCAUGGAGGGGCGCAUGCCCUGAGGUGGGUGGGUGUUAGCUAUGACGAGAAAACAUAUGAAGUUUCUGCUAUUGUUAAGCCUGAUGUCGAAGAGUUGGAAAUGAUUUGUGAAUCUCUGUGCACGUAAAUGGAACAUUGGACAAGUUAAGCCAUGUGUAUUCCAUCUCCUUUAAUAUAUUGCUUGUGAUUGGCCUAAUAGAGAGUCUGCAAGACGUGAUUUGUACUCAAAGCAUCUCAUCCAGAUCACUUUACAAUACUUUUCUUCAUAUCUAGAAAAUGCGUGUAUGCAUAUCAGUUUCGUGAACAAUUUUUUUGAAUAUCCAGGUCACUUUAUGCAUAUCCAGAUCACUUUACAAACAGAACAAAUGCGUGUAUUCCUUUUUCAUCAUAUCCAUAUCUAGAAAAGCAUUCCUCCAUGUAAUAGGGUUUUUGAAAGCAGUAUGCAUAUAUGUUUCGUGAAUAAUUUUUUUUUGUUAUUGCAACCAUAAGAAAGAAUCUUACUGGAUUGUCCUGGAAAAUAUUAGUCAUCUAUUGCCGAUAACUAGAUCCGUGUUAACUCAAUAGGGUGAUCUAGCGAGUUAUCUUGAGACAAAAAGUCGCCUGCAAUCUUAUAAAGUGAUCAGAUUUGCCCCUGAGACUGCAAGGUAUGUUAGGAUUCAUAACAUAUGUAUCUUCUUUUCCUAUUUUUUCCUUUUAAAGUUGUAACUACCAUUUGAGAAUUGACUUAAACUGCUCGCAUUAGUGCAUCAUUUUGUAUUCACCUGAAAAUAAUGUAGCAUUGACUGAAACUGCUCACCAUUUGAAGUAUUGACUGAAACAUUAACUACCAUUGAAGUAUUUUCUUUAUUUUUUUUGACUAGAAAAGCAUGAAGAUGAAUUAAGUUGAUUCAUGUAGAUGAAAUGGUUUUCCAUUUCCAUUUGUGUCGUUUCAGUGAAACAAAAUGAUAUUGCAGCUCUUUUCAUUUAUGUCUUGUUUCAUUGCAUUAUUAUCUUCCAUGAUUUCUUUUUCACCAAUACAUUUUGUUGCAUAUAUGGAGGCCAUCUACUUUUCUGCUGAUAUUUGUUAUUAUAUCAUCUUGUUUGCGAACUUAAAAAGGUCCCUCAAAGAGAAGCGUUUUUCAUGUGCUCCUGAAUCUGGUGUGCGGUAUGAUGGAGUUUACAUAUUGAGAACUGUUGGAGGAAGACUGGUAUUCAGCGCCGUUGGCCGCUCUGCCUACCGAGUGCCACCCCGCCGCCUCCUCCCACCCCCCACCUGGGACCUCACCGCCUGCUCCCCGCCCGGCACACCCACAACGCUUGAGGCUGAGCAGAUGCCAUUGGCCCGUGGGCACGGAAGCAGAGUCCAGGAUGGUGAUGGUGCCAAGGAGGACUCUCGGACGUCGACCGGUUGCAUCGUUGCUGCCGUAUCCAUGGAGUGGCGCGGCUCCAACCACUCUGAGAUGAGGAAUCAGUACAACAACAGAACUUGAAGCUGACAAGGAUGGAUGAUGGUUGGUUUUGGUGGAGAGAUCGGGUGCAUAUGAACAACCUAUUAUCUUCCUUUUUUGUUUUUCAUCAUUCAACGGGACAAUUUCCUAAUUCUUUUUUAGUACUGUCUGGAAAGGUUAUUAGUACAUAUAGGUUUGUCAAAAUUUAUUAGCACAUAUGAGGUUCUUUGUUUGGACCCCCUUUGGCUCUACAUAAUUCUUUGGAGUGGGAUUCUAGAUAGAUGCUUUUAUUGAUUUUCUCCCAUUGCAACGUACGGGUAUGUUUACUGUAAUAAUAAAGUCAGAAGGAGAAGGGCGAGGUCCAGAUGGAGCUCUACCAGUUCCACCGCUUUCAUAUCUCGACUGUUGCUGCUAGCUCUACUCUGCUCAACGAUAAAUUCUGUGUGGUUAGUUAAUUUACUAGGUAAAUUGCAUAGCUCAGUAGCAUGCACACAUGAACGCUCAAGUUACAUGUUUGGUCAGCCAUUCCCUGGCAGCCUAUGGCUAGGCUUCCCAGAAGAUUCCUUCUACAUAACACAUGUUAUGUGUUGCCGAGUCGUACAGCUGCAUGAAUUGGGCAAUAUGUAUUUUGGAUUGGGUUCAAAGAGGAAAUUGUUGAUCAUUUGUAUCAACUAUCUAUGACCUCAAGUUCACAUGAGUCGUGCUUCUUUACCUUCACGACAUAUGACACUCAGCAGAUCAAUUGGUGUCAUCUCCAGAUUCCUCUCAUCAUGUUGUUUCAUUUAUUUUAACAAGUUUCACUCGGAGAUACAUGCAUGAAACAUGGUAUUUUUUUAGUGCG